GGAGUGGUGUCCGAGUGGUCUAAGGAGCGGGCCUGGAAAGCUCGUAGUCGGUAAAACGGCUCGUGGGUUCGAAUCCCACCUACUCCGCCA
This 90-nucleotide transfer RNA is filed under the name bacterium. RNAcentral's name for it is "tRNA-Ser". It matches the Rfam family "tRNA". Rfam says of the family: Transfer RNA (tRNA) molecules are approximately 80 nucleotides in length. Their secondary structure includes four short double-helical elements and three loops (D, anti-codon, and T loops). The record is from RNAcentral.